Molecule: long non-coding RNA, 301 nt
Filed under: Olea europaea (common olive)
Lineage: Eukaryota; Viridiplantae; Streptophyta; Magnoliopsida; Lamiales; Oleaceae
Description: long non-coding RNA (OEUR_LNC012892)
Source: RNAcentral
UCUGCCAAAACGUGGGAAGACCUUAUUGUGUCAACCUCACUCCCAUCAAGUCACAACAUUAGGUGGUGGGGUUAGGUGAACCAUAUCCUCACAUUCUUCACCUUGGUUCUCCUAACACUCUCUCUUGGUUGCGAAUUUGCACAUGGAAGAACAUCGCCCCACCUCCUGCAAGAAAAAUUAACCAGUGUCAAUGUGUAAUAAAGAUAAGCACAAUCUAAAUUUACUUGCAGGUAGAAUUUUUGUUCCCAUAUCAGAGGGAUUCCUAUCAGUGUGAAUUUUAACAAGAUUAACUUCACCUUGA